CACGUAGGGUGCGAGCGUUGUCCGGAAUUAUUGGGCGUAAAGAGCUUGUAGGCGGUCUGUCGCGUCUGCUGUGAAAAUCCGGGGCUCAACCCCGGACUUGCAGUGGGUACGGGCAGACUAGAGUGUGGUAGGGGAGACUGGAAUUCCUGGUGUAGCGGUGAAAUGCGCAGAUAUCAGGAGGAACACCGAUGGCGAAGGCAGGUCUCUGGGCCGCUACUGACGCUGAGAAGCGAAAGCAUGGGGAGCGAACAGG
RNAcentral lists this ribosomal RNA (253 nucleotides) under uncultured bacterium. RNAcentral describes it as "partial 16S ribosomal RNA". It matches the Rfam family "Bacterial small subunit ribosomal RNA", at positions 524 to 776 of the family's 1533-position model. The record is from RNAcentral.